ACAUUCCACAUUAAUACAUAUAGUAAUUUUUUUUUUAUCUUUCGGCUCCUUAUCCACCUCCCGCUCCCUCACGACUCCACCUCAUCCACCACCUCUUCCUCUCGUCCACCUUCACUUCUCUUGCUAUCUUCGCCACCAUCACCACCACCUCUGUGUACUCUCCUCCUCCUCCUCCUCCUCCUCCUCCCCUUCCCCUUCCACCCCCCCCUACAGUCAGCUGAAGCCGGACCCAACCUACAAGAAGUACCGCACGGCCAUCAAGUGGAGGAACCUCAACCCGGAGUUCAACGAGGAGUUCGUGUUCGAGGUGCGCCGCAACGAACUCCCCAAGAAGCUGCUGGACAUCCGCGUCUACGACAAGGACGUGGGCCGCAGCGACGACUUCAUAGGCGGACUCCAACUCUCCCAGGACAGCACGGGCACGGAGCUACGCCACUGGUAUGACGCUCUGCAGUACCCCGACCGUCGACAUGACCGUUGGCACCAGCUGCAGUCCCUCAACGGCAAGUGAAGAGGCGGGCCAUGAGGAGGAGCGAGGGACGAUUAAGCGACAGGGGAUGAGAGAAAGGAGUGGCAAGUAGGAACAGAGGAAGAAGACGACGUGGAAAGUGACGGACGAUGGAAGAGAAGAGUGGAAUGAACAGAAGAAGACGUAGAAAGAAGGAAAAGAAGUGGAUGAACGAAGGAAGAAGUGGAAGAGUUGGAAGAUGGAGAAAAGGAUAUGGAAGAAGGAAAAGAAGUAAGAAAUUAAGAAGAUGAAGAAAUGGAAAGAACAGGAAGAUGGAGAAAAGAAGAUGGAAGAAGGAAAAGAAGCAAGAAAUUAAGAAGAUGAAGAAAUGGAAAGAACAGGAAGAUGGAGAAAAGGUUAUGGAAGAAGGAAAAGAAGUGAGAAAUGAAGAUGAAGAAAUGGAAAGAACAGGAAGAUGGAGAAAAGGAGAUAAAAGAAGGGAAAUAAGUAUAGAAUAGAGGAAGAAAACAACAGUAGAUGGAAGGAGGAGUGGAAAAAUGAGGAAGAACGAGAUGAAGAAGGAGAUGAAAGAAGGAAAAAGAAGUAUAAAAAAGAGGAAAAUGAACAAAAUGAAAGAAGGAAAAGUGGAAGAUAUAAAGAAAAGGAAAAGCAAGAGAUGAUGAAAGAAGAAAAAAGAAUGAUAGGAAGAAGAAUACCAACGAGAUGAAAGAAGGAAAAGAGGAAAAUAUGAAAAACAGCAACAACAGGAAAUUAAAGAAGAAGAAGAAAUUAAAAAAAAAGAAGAGGAGCAGAUGAAAAAAAAGGAAUUAAAGAGAAGGAAACCGACUGAAGAUGGAAGGGAAGGAGGAUAAACAAGAAGAAAUGGAAAAGUAGCAAUUAAAGAAAAAAAAAGGAAGAAAAAUAAAAAAAACAUAUGGAAGAAAGAAGAGACAGAGAGGAAAAAUGGAAGAAAACAACAGGAAGAAAACACCUAAGAAAGAAAGGAAGAGGAGAGAAUGAAGGAAGAAGAACCAACAAGCAAGGAAGAAGGAGGAGACAGAGAGGAAGAAUAAGCAGAAGGAAAAGUGAUGAUGAUGAGCAAGAAGAAGAAGAAGAAGAAGAAGAAGAAGAAGAAGAAGAAGAAGACGAAGAAGAAGAAGAAAAAGAGAAAGAAGAAGAAGAAGACGAAGAAGAAGAAAAAAAAGAGAAAGAAGAAGAAGAAGAAGAAGAAAAAGAUGAAGAAAAAGAAGAAGAAGAAGAAAUGAAGAAAACAGAGGGAGAAAUAGUGUGAUGACGGAGGGAGAAGAAAGGAAAUAAAUAUAAGAAGAAAAAAAGAUGAAGACAAAGAAGAAAAAAGAAAGAUGACAAAUGAUGGAGAGGAAGAAAAGUGACGACAGAUGAUGGAAAAAAAAUAAUAAUGAUGAAAAAAAAGAGAAAAAGAAGAAGAAAAAGAAGACAACUGGCUGACGUGUGACAAGGAAAGUGAAAAGAUUUGAAAAGAAGAAGAAUUGGAAGAAAACAGGAAUGAAAAUAUAGAAACGGAAGGAAAAGUGAAUGAAAACGAAAAUAAGAUAAUAAGGAAAACAUGAAAACAGAAAAGAAAAGGAGAUGAAAAAGGGAUGAAAAUAAAGAACGUAGGAGAAUAAGAUGAUUAGGAAAUAAGGCAUAAAGAAGAUAGAGAUAAAAAUGUAGAAUAGCAAAGACAAAGAGGAGAUGAAAAGAACGAAUAAAUGAGGAAAAAGAAAAGAAAAAAAACAAUGAAGGAGAAAAAGAGGAAAACAAAGAGGAAAAACGAUAAAAAAAAGAUGUAGUGAAAAGAAA
This is a long non-coding RNA of Eriocheir sinensis (Chinese mitten crab), 2269 nucleotides long. RefSeq lists it as uncharacterized. The transcript has 2 exons. NCBI's taxonomy places the organism in Eukaryota, Metazoa, Arthropoda, Malacostraca, Decapoda, Varunidae. The record is from RefSeq and is a predicted model, not a curated record.